RNAcentral lists this unclassified non-coding RNA (863 nucleotides) under uncultured Bordetella sp. Its description in RNAcentral is "partial 16S-23S ribosomal RNA intergenic spacer". It matches the Rfam family "Bacterial small subunit ribosomal RNA", at positions 10 to 859 of the family's 1533-position model. The record is from RNAcentral. Lineage: Bacteria; Pseudomonadati; Pseudomonadota; Betaproteobacteria; Burkholderiales; Alcaligenaceae.
GGUUCGAUCCUGGCUCAGAUUGAACGCUGGCGGGAUGCUUUACACAUGCAAGUCGAACGGCAGCACGGACUUCGGUCUGGUGGCGAGUGGCGAACGGGUGAGUAAUGUAUCGGAGCAUUUAGUAGCGGGGGGAUAACUACGUAGCGUAGCUAAUACCACAUACGCCAUGAGAAGAAGCAGGGGACGCUCGGGCCUCGCACUAUUAGAGCGGCCGAUAUCGGAUUAGCUAGUUGGUGGGGCCAACGGCUCACCGAAGGCUGACGAUCGUAGCUGGUUUCAGAGAGGGACAACGACCAGCCACACUGCUACAGGACUGAGACACGGCCAGACUCCUACGGGAGGCAGCAGUGGGGAAUUUUGGACAAUGGGGAAACCCUGAUCCAGCCAUCCCGCGUGUGCGAUGAAGGCCUUCGGGUUAUAAGGCACUUUUGGCAGGAAGAAGCAGCUGGGAUAAUACCCGUGCAACUGACGUACCUGCAGAAUAAGCACCGGCUAACUGCAUUGCUAACACCAUGCCAGUAAUGCAGCAAGUGCAAGCGUUAAUCAGAUUACUGGGCGUAAAACGUGCGCAGGCGGUUCGGAAGAAAGAUGUGAAAUCCCAGAGCUUAACUUUGGAACUGCAUUUUUAACUACCGAGCUAAGAGUAUGUCAGAGGGAGGGUGGAAUUCACGCUGUGACAGUGAAAAAGAUACGUAGAUAUCACGGAGGAACACCGAUGGCGAAGGCAGCCUCCUGGAUAACACUGACGCUCAUGCACGAAAGCGUGGGGAGCAAGCAGGAUUAGAUACCCUGGUAGUCCACGCCCUAAACAAAUCAUCAACUAGCUGUUGGGGCCUUCGGGCCUUGGUAGCGCAGCUAACGCG